Molecule: ribosomal RNA, 1356 nt
Filed under: Enterobacter hormaechei
Lineage: Bacteria; Pseudomonadati; Pseudomonadota; Gammaproteobacteria; Enterobacterales; Enterobacteriaceae
Also listed under: 4 other names
Description: partial 23S ribosomal RNA
Rfam family: Bacterial large subunit ribosomal RNA
Source: RNAcentral
UGUGAACUCGAAGAGUAGGGCGGGACACGUGGUAUCCUGUCUGAAUAUGGGGGGACCAUCCUCCAAGGCUAAAUACUCCUGACUGACCGAUAGUGAACCAGUACCGUGAGGGAAAGGCGAAAAGAACCCCGGCGAGGGGAGUGAAAAAGAACCUGAAACCGUGUACGUACAAGCAGUGGGAGCACCUUCGGGUGUGACUGCGUACCUUUUGUAUAAUGGGUCAGCGACUUAUAUUCUGUAGCAAGGUUAACCGUAUAGGGGAGCCGAAGGGAAACCGAGUCUUAACUGGGCGUUAAGUUGCAGGGUAUAGACCCGAAACCCGGUGAUCUAGCCAUGGGCAGGUUGAAGGUUGGGUAACACUAACUGGAGGACCGAACCGACUAAUGUUGAAAAAUUAGCGGAUGACCUGUGGCUGGGGGUGAAAGGCCAAUCAAACCGGGAGAUAGCUGGUUCUCCCCGAAAGCUAUUUAGGUAGCGCCUCGUGAACUCAUCUUCGGGGGUAGAGCACUGUUUCGGCUAGGGGGCCAUCCCGGCUUACCAACCCGAUGCAAACUACGAAUACCGAAGAAUGUUAUCACGGGAGACACACGGCGGGUGCUAACGUCCGUCGUGAAGAGGGAAACAACCCAGACCGCCAGCUAAGGUCCCAAAGUCAUGGUUAAGUGGGAAACGAUGUGGGAAGGCACAGACAGCCAGGAUGUUGGCUUAGAAGCAGCCAUCAUUUAAAGAAAGCGUAAUAGCUCACUGGUCGAGUCGGCCUGCGCGGAAGAUGUAACGGGGCUAAACCAUGCACCGAAGCUGCGGCAGCGACGCUUAUGCGUUGUUGGGUAGGGGAGCGUUCUGUAAGCCGUUGAAGGUGUGCUGUGAGGCAUGCUGGAGGUAUCAGAAGUGCGAAUGCUGACAUAAGUAACGAUAAAGCGGGUGAAAAGCCCGCUCGCCGGAAGACCAAGGGUUCCUGUCCAACGUUAAUCGGGGCAGGGUGAGUCGACCCCUAAGGCGAGGCCGAAAGGCGUAGUCGAUGGGAAACAGGUUAAUAUUCCUGUACUUGGUGUUACUGCGAAGGGGGGACGGAGAAGGCUAUGUCAGCCGGGCGACGGUUGUCCCGGUUUAAGCAUGUAGGCGGAGGUUCCAGGUAAAUCCGGUACCUUUUAACGCUGAGGUGUGAUGACGAGGCACUACGGUGCUGAAGUGAUAAAUGCCCUGCUUCCAGGAAAAGCCUCUAAGCAUCAGGUAACACGAAAUCGUACCCCAAACCGACACAGGUGGUCAGGUAGAGAAUACCAAGGCGCUUGAGAGAACUCGGGUGAAGGAACUAGGCAAAAUGGUGCCGUAACUUCGGGAGAAGGCACGCUGAUA